CUUUAUGUAUAUGAGGAAUGAUAUUAUAUAAUAAGUUAAUACACAGUUAUACAAACUUUUCGGGGAUUAGAAAAGUGUGUAAUAGUAUUUUAAAUGUAAGCAAAUAUGUUUAAUUUUGGCUUAAAUUUUUGAGUUUUUAUUAAAUUUGCAUGAAAAUUAUAGUGUGCUUAGAUGUUUGGUUUUAUACUGAAUAUUAUUAUUAUAUGAAAUAUAAAUGAUAAAAUAUAUAACCUCAGCAUAAAUUAUUAAUAAUUUGUUUAUACAAAAGUAUGAAUUAGUAAUAAUAUAAAAAUCUGAUGAAUAUUUGUGCCAGCAUUCGCGGUUAUACUUUAAGGUUAAAUAAAAAGAAUUAGCAUUUAGUUAGACAGAGAUUUUUUGUGAAUUAUAAAUAAUAAAAGGUAGAAUUUAAUUGUUAUUAUAUAAUAUGAAUUAAUAAUUAAGAUUGAAGCUAAAAAAUCUAAUUAUAAACUAGGAUUAGAUACCCUAUUAUUUUAGGAAAAAAUAAAAAGCUAAAUUAGUAUUAGUUAUAUACUUUAAAAUUAAAAAAUUUGGCGGUGAUUUAAUCUUUUCAGAGGAAUUUGUUUUUUAAUCGAUAAUCCACGAAAAAUCUUACUUGUUUUUGUUUAAAUAUAAAUAAAUCAGUUUGUAUACCAUCAUUAUCAGAUAAUUCUAAAAAGAAAAAUUGUCAAAUAUAAUUGAUUAUAAAAAUUAGAUCAUGGUGCAGCUUAUAAACAAGUUAAAAUGAAUUACAAUAAAUUAUUUUAUAAAUGAAUUAAUAAUAUAAUUUUUAUUAUGAAGGAGGAUUUGAUAGUAUUAUAAUUUUAAUAAGUUUAUAAGACAAUGGCUCUAAAUCAUGUACAUAUCGCCCGUCGCUUUCAUCUAUAAAUGAAAUAAGUCGUAACAUAGUAGAUGUACUGGAAAGUGUAUCUAGAAUUAUU
RNAcentral lists this non-coding RNA (938 nucleotides) under Parasesarma tripectinis. The record is from RNAcentral. Lineage: Eukaryota; Metazoa; Arthropoda; Malacostraca; Decapoda; Sesarmidae.